Brassica rapa (field mustard) is the source of this 290-nucleotide long non-coding RNA. RefSeq lists it as uncharacterized. Lineage: Eukaryota; Viridiplantae; Streptophyta; Magnoliopsida; Brassicales; Brassicaceae. The record is from RefSeq and is a predicted model, not a curated record.
GUUGUAGACAUCCGUUUAAACCACGAAACCCCGAACUUUGUAGCAUGCAAAACACAUGGUUAGAAGCAACAGAAAAUCAUGAAAAUUUACCACAAAAAAGCUUUAACCAUUCUUAUGAAGCAUGCAUAAAAUCAGAUUCAAAUUCGAAGUAUUUGUUUUUUUACAUUAAAAAUACACCCGGAACACAAUCAAUGUCCACUCGUGACAGACUGAAAAAAAAUGUUUUGUCUAUAUAAGGGGUAGGCACUCUUCUGAGCCUACCCUCAGUACCCGAAGGGGUAUGUAGUGUU